UUUAACAAUAGGUGGAUUUGUUGUUUCCAGCCAUAUUGUAACUUUUAUUUUAUGGAUCAAUGUUAAUAAAUGCUAUAUUAAAUUAAUGUGCCAUUGAAUAUAUGAGACGUGCAUGGGUGAUAUAAGAAUAGAAGAUAUAAUUUAAUUUUUAUCAAAAGAUCCGAGUGCUUUACUAAUCGAUUUAUACUUCUCAAUGUAUUUAGCAAAUCUAAAUACUUCAUGUGCAUAAAAUGCAUUUCUUCAUUGCCAUGUUUUUUUAUGUAUCCAGAUUGUCUCUAAAGCAAUAUCUACGUUGACUUCUCAAACUUUCAGGUCCAAUGCCAUUAUCCGAUGAUAAUUUAUCAAAUCGAUUAUAUUUCUCUUCCAAUAAUUUAAACGGUACAAUACCAUCCACCAUUGGGAAUCUAUCAAAUCUGUGGGACCUAGACCUCUCUUCCAAUGAAUUAAAUGGUCCAAUACCAUCUACCAUUGGGAAUUUAUCAAAUUUGGUGAACUUAUACCUCUCUUACAACAAAUUAAACGGU
Long non-coding RNA from Salvia miltiorrhiza (redroot sage), 524 nucleotides. RefSeq lists it as uncharacterized. The transcript is spliced from 3 exons. NCBI's taxonomy places the organism in Eukaryota, Viridiplantae, Streptophyta, Magnoliopsida, Lamiales, Lamiaceae. The record is from RefSeq and is a predicted model, not a curated record.